CCUGGUGGCUAUGGCGGGGUGGCUGCACCCGAUCCCAUUCCGAACUCGGCCGUGAAACGCCCCAGCGCCGAUGGUACUAUGACUUAAGUCAUGGGAGAGUAGGUCGUUGCCAGGU
Molecule: ribosomal RNA, 115 nt
Filed under: Hyphomicrobium sp.
Lineage: Bacteria; Pseudomonadati; Pseudomonadota; Alphaproteobacteria; Hyphomicrobiales; Hyphomicrobiaceae
Source: RNAcentral